RNAcentral lists this ribosomal RNA (234 nucleotides) under Escherichia coli. Its description in RNAcentral is "partial 23S ribosomal RNA". It matches the Rfam family "Bacterial large subunit ribosomal RNA", at positions 159 to 431 of the family's 2925-position model. The record is from RNAcentral. Lineage: Bacteria; Pseudomonadati; Pseudomonadota; Gammaproteobacteria; Enterobacterales; Enterobacteriaceae.
UGAAUCCAUAGGUUAAUGAGGCGAACCGGGGGAACUGAAACAUCUAAGUACCCCGAGGAAAAGAAAUCAACCGAGAUUCCCCCAGUAGCGGCGAGCGAACGGGGAGGAGCCCAGAGCCUGAAUCAGUAUGUGUGUUAGUGGAAGCGUCUGGAAAGGCGCGCGAUACAGGGUGACAGCCCCGUACACAAAAAUGCACAUGCUGUGAGCUCGAUGAGUAGGGCGGGACACGUGGUA